RNAcentral lists this non-coding RNA (61 nucleotides) under unclassified sequences. RNAcentral's name for it is "GP20-b RNA". It matches the Rfam family "GP20-b RNA". The record is from RNAcentral.
GGCCUGUCCGUGGGCCUAAAAAGACGGAACGGCAGGAGCUGGCAACCUCCUAAAAUGCCUA